UGCAGUUGGCUAGUGGUUGCAGGUGACACGUUGGUCUGGCAACCAGUGAGCAAUUGUUGUUGAGGGUGGUUAUUGUUUUUGCUUUUUUGCACAAAGGGGUGUGUAUGGUGAUGAGUGGUUUUCAUUGCUGGUGAGGUUGUUUCAAACUUACCUGGCUUGUGUUUUGGCACUGUUUGGUGUGCUUUCUGAUGUGGGAAAUCAUUGUCUUUCCAUAUUGAAGAGGUGGUUCUGUGUGCCGUAGCAUGGUGGAAGUUUGAUAGUGUUGAUGUGCCAUGGUGUUACCAUGUGAAUGAAGAUGAGUAUUUGCUGUGAUACAGUGCCCCUGUGGUGGAAGUGUAUGGUGGGAUGAGGAUGGUGAUUUGGUACUUGAUGUGAUAUAUAUGGACCCUUUUGGUGAUUGUGUGGUGGCUAUUGCUUGUGAAGAUGAUAAAAACCUUGAUUUUAUGUUUGUAGGCUUUGGAGGGUAUGGUGUUGUUUGGGGAUUCUCUGGUCUCAGAUGUUUCAUGUGUGGCUAGAACAACUGGAUUAUGGCAGUGCAUUCUGUUAGGAGGUUACUGUUGUAGGUGAUAAAAAAAAUUGUGAGAGCUUAAAGUUACUACCAGGCUGAAAAUUUGGGAGAUUGGGGCUUUGGUGUGUUGCUCUUUGGUGUGUUCUAUGACUAUCUUCUAGCUGUGGCUAUCAAAUCUGGUGUUCAAGCAAUUUCUUCUCCUCUCUAUAUGCAUGGUCAAGUGUGCCCUGGAUAGUGUCUGCGGCAGGAGUGUUGCAUGUCAUUCUUCCGCCUUUUCUCCCAUGUAAAGCCAAGAGUGCUGUAGACGGUGUUUCUAGCAACUAGAGUGUUAUAGACUUAUAGUCAACUAGAAAGGUGUGACCAAGUAUUACAAAAUGACAAACUAGAUUUGAAGAUAGAAUAAACAAGAACGAAUAUGCUAUUGGAGACUGAAAUCUCAACAGAAAUCUCCUUCCUUUUUCCAAGGGUUUUCCCUUCACAAAGGGUUGCCCCUUUCUCAAACUGAGACUGCUCUGUUUCUGUUUGCCAUUACUACGAUUCUGAAUGCCUCCGCUUCUAUUCCCCAUUUUUUUCUUUUUAUUAUUUAAGCUCGCUCAUAAAUCAAUUUUGUAACUAAUUACUAUUGACAACUCUAGCUACUUUGCCCAUUACUAGCUAAAGUUGGCUUUAUUUCCCAUUAUUCUUCUUUUGUGGGUUCUAUCACCAACGUAGUUGCAGGUCCAACAGCAGCUGUCGUAGUUUCUUGUGGUUUCAGCCAGAUAGAAAAUGUGAACUAGGGUGUGACAGGUUUCAGAGCCGGUGUCAUCCUAUUCCUAGUUUCUCCUCUUCAAUAUUAGGUGGUUCAGCAUUGCCUUUCUUCAUCUUCUUCUUUGUCCUGUGUAUGGAAUGCUGAGUUUCUCUUCUCUUGGUGAUAGCUCACUAUUAAAAUGGCGUGCCUUCUCUUCUUUCUGGCUGUUUGGAUUUGUCUCAAUUUUCUUGUGAAGAUUGCUGAGUUCUGUACUAAAUUUAAGCUUUUGUGAUUCAGGGAGAGCACUAGUUGCCUAAGUUGAUUGGACAGAUGGGCUAGUGUUAUUCUUGUUCUGUUUGCAGAUAUGAGGAUGGUUCCAUGCUUUGGUGGGAUGUACGAAAUCCUGGAGUUCCAGUAACUUCUGUAAAAUUCCAUUCUGAGCCAGUUCUUAGCAUCUGUAUUGACGGAUCUUGCAAAGGGGGUAUCUCAGGAGCUGCGGAUGACAAAAUUGUCAUGUACAGCUUGGAUCAUUCCUCGGUAACUU
Non-coding RNA from Cajanus cajan (pigeon pea), 1779 nucleotides. NCBI's taxonomy places the organism in Eukaryota, Viridiplantae, Streptophyta, Magnoliopsida, Fabales, Fabaceae. The record is from RefSeq and is a predicted model, not a curated record.